UUAAUUGAAGAGUUUGAUCAUGGCUCAGAUUGAACGCUGGCGGCAGGCUUAACACAUGCAAGUCGAGCGGAAACGAAGAGUAGCUUGCUACUCUGGCGUCGAGCGGCGGACGGGUGAGUAAUGCUUGGGAAUAUGCCUUGAGGUGGGGGACAACAGUUGGAAACGACUGCUAAUACCGCAUAAUGUCUACGGACCAAAGGAGGGGAUCUUCGGACCUUUCGCCUUUAGAUUAGCCCAAGUGAGAUUAGUUAGUUGGUGGGGUAAUGGCCUACCAAGACGACGAUCUCUAGCUGGUUUGAGAGGAUGAUCAGCCACACUGGGACUGAGACACGGCCCAGACUCCUACGGGAGGCAGCAGUGGGGA
Molecule: ribosomal RNA, 364 nt
Filed under: Thalassotalea sp. Y01
Lineage: Bacteria; Pseudomonadati; Pseudomonadota; Gammaproteobacteria; Alteromonadales; Colwelliaceae
Description: bacterial SSU rRNA
Rfam family: Bacterial small subunit ribosomal RNA
Source: RNAcentral